RNAcentral lists this ribosomal RNA (253 nucleotides) under uncultured bacterium. RNAcentral describes it as "partial 16S ribosomal RNA". It matches the Rfam family "Bacterial small subunit ribosomal RNA", at positions 524 to 776 of the family's 1533-position model. The record is from RNAcentral.
UACGUAGGGGGCUAGCGUUGUCCGGAUUUAUUGGGCGUAAAGAGCGUGUAGGCGGCCAGGUAGGUCCGGUGUGAAAACUCGAGGCUUAACCUCGAGAUGUCAUCGGAAACCAUCUGGCUAGAGUCCGGAAGAGGAAAGUGGAAUUCCUGGUGUAGCGGUGAAAUGCGCAGAUAUCAGGAAGAACACCAAUGGCGAAAGCAGCUUUCUGGGCCGGUACUGACGCUGAGACGCGAAAGCGUGGGGAGCGAACAGG